GAGGUCUGAAUACUUUCCGAAUGCACAGUAGGUUACUGUUUACAAAUGCCCAAACUGCACUACUCCCUCUACCACUGAGUAUCUUUGUGGUUCAACCCUAUGCUUAAGUCAUCUCUGUUUUGAAAGACUAGAAUGUUUCUCUGACAUUUUUUGUUUCAUGUUUGGGUUGUGAGUUGAGACAAAACGGGCUAUGUGUGUGUACAUACAGAGCUGAUCUCUCAUUCAUCUUCUCAAGAAGAGCUUCCACCACAUCCUGUCACUCUGUUGUCGUUCAUGGCCCUGGAAUUCUUUGGAAUAAUAUGAUAAGUGAAAUUCCCACGCUAGGCGUCCUCUUUUCACAGCUUUAGGACAUUCCAGAGAAUCUGCACAGCCAUUUGGCUGUGAAGAGAUCACACGGGUGUUCCUGUUGUGCCAUGACUGAUCUGAGGAGGAUGAGGGGAGCUUGACUUCCAGGCAUGACCCCACUCUUCCAAUACUAUUGUUAUGGAGAGGAAGUGGUGCUUAUUGUCUUUGCCCCUGUGGGCCCAGCCUAGGGUCAGCCUAGGCUGGGGCUGGGGUUAGGGUUAGUCUAGGCUGGGGUUAGGGUCAGACUAGGCUGGGAUUAAUAGUAGGUUUAGCCUAGGCUGGGGUUAGUGUUAGGGUUAGCCUAGGCUGGGGUCAGACUAGGCUGUGGUCAGAUUAGGCUGGGGUAACUGUCAGCCUGGGUUGGGGUUAGUGUUAUGAUUCAGUCUAGGCUGGGGUCAAACUAGGCUGGGGUUAUGGUCAGACUAGGCUGGGGUUAGUGUUAGGGUUCAGUCUAGGCUGGGGUCAGACAAGGCUGGGGUUAGUGUUAGGGUUCAGUCUAGGCUGGGGUCAGACUAGGCUGGGGUUAUGGUCAGACUAGGCUGGGGUCAUGGUCAGACUAGGCUGGGGUUAGUGUCAGCCUGGGUUGGGGUUAGUGUUAGGGUUCAGACUAGGCUAGGAUUAUGGUCAGACUAGGCUGGGGUUAGUGUUAGGGUUCAGUCUAGGCUGGGGUCAGACUAGGCUGGGGUUAUGGUCAGACUAGGCUGGGGUUAGUGUUAGGGUUCAGUCUAGGCUGGGGUCAGACUAGAAUGGG
Molecule: long non-coding RNA, 1096 nt
Filed under: Salmo salar (Atlantic salmon)
Lineage: Eukaryota; Metazoa; Chordata; Actinopteri; Salmoniformes; Salmonidae
Description: lncRNA (ENSSSAG00000085633.1, ENSSSAG00020073850.1)
Source: RNAcentral